AGCUUUGUGCAGGGUCAUUACCUUAGCCAGUGAGGUUUAUCCAAGGUGCAGUUAUUGCUAAUUGGAAACUUUUCCCAAUUAGCCAACCAUGAAUAAGCUAAUUUGCAUAUCAGAAAUUGUAUUGACCAAUCCUGG
RNAcentral lists this small nuclear RNA (135 nucleotides) under Chinchilla lanigera (long-tailed chinchilla). RNAcentral's name for it is "U4 spliceosomal RNA (ENSCLAG00000020776.1)". It matches the Rfam family "U4 spliceosomal RNA". Rfam says of the family: U4 small nuclear RNA (U4 snRNA) is a component of the major U2-dependent spliceosome. Lineage: Eukaryota; Metazoa; Chordata; Mammalia; Rodentia; Chinchillidae. The record is from RNAcentral.